GCAAGUCGAGCGGUAACAAAUCUAGCUUGCUAGAUGCUGACGAGCGGCGGACGGGUGAGUAACGCGUAGAAAACUGCCCAGGAGUUGGGGAUAGCGCAGAGAAAUUCGGAUUAAUACCGCAUACGCUCUCCGGGGGAAAGGGGGCUUCGGCUCUCGCUAUUGGAUGUGUCUGCGUGGGAUUAGCUAGUUGGUGAGGUAAGGGCUCACCAAGGCGACGAUCCCUAGCUGGUCUGAGAGGAUGAUC
This 244-nucleotide ribosomal RNA is filed under the name uncultured bacterium. Its description in RNAcentral is "partial 16S ribosomal RNA". It matches the Rfam family "Bacterial small subunit ribosomal RNA", at positions 57 to 305 of the family's 1533-position model. The record is from RNAcentral.